This 694-nucleotide ribosomal RNA is filed under the name uncultured bacterium. RNAcentral describes it as "bacterial SSU rRNA". It matches the Rfam family "Bacterial small subunit ribosomal RNA", at positions 32 to 715 of the family's 1533-position model. The record is from RNAcentral.
AACGCUAGCUACAGGCUUAACACAUGCAAGUCGAGGGGCAGCAUAUUUUUAGCUUGCUAAGAAUGAUGGCGACCGGCGCACGGGUGAGUAACGCGUAUCCAACCUUCCCAUGGCUCAGGGAUAACCUUGCGAAAGUAAGCCUAAUACCUGAUAUCCUCUUUAGCAGGCAUCUAAAGAAGAGGAAAGAUUUAUCGGCGAUGGAUGGGGAUGCGUCCGAUUAGCUUGCCGGUGGGGUAAAGGCCCACCGGGGCGACGAUCGGUAGGGGUUCUGAGAGGAAGGUCCCCCACAUUGGAACUGAGACACGGUCCAAACUCCUACGGGAGGCAGCAGUGAGGAAUAUUGGUCAAUGGGCGAGAGCCUGAACCAGCCAAGUAGCGUGCAGGACGACGGCCCUAUGGGUUGUAAACUGCUUUUAUACGGGAAUAAAGUGAUGCCUGCGGGCGUUAUUGCAUGUACCGUACGAAUAAGGACCGGCUAAUUCCGUGCCAGCAGCCGCGGUAAUACGGAAGGUCCGGGCGUUAUCCGGAUUUAUUGGGUUUAAAGGGAGCGUAGGCUGUCCUUUAAGCGUGUUGUGAAAUGUAGGCGCUCAACGCCUGCACUGCAGCGCGAACUGAAGGACUUGAGUGUGCACGACGCUGGCGGAAUUCGCGGUGUAGCGGUGAAAUGCUUAGAUAUCACGAAGAACUCCGAUUG